UNCCUGACAUGGUGAUAGAUGGUAGGC
This 27-nucleotide non-coding RNA is filed under the name Mus musculus (house mouse). Lineage: Eukaryota; Metazoa; Chordata; Mammalia; Rodentia; Muridae. The record is from RNAcentral.